Molecule: long non-coding RNA, 669 nt
Organism: Balaenoptera ricei (Rice's whale)
Lineage: Eukaryota; Metazoa; Chordata; Mammalia; Artiodactyla; Balaenopteridae
Exons: 3
Source: RefSeq, a predicted model, not a curated record
UUAACCCGUGAUUGCUGGGGCUGACUCUCGCUCUUCCAGGGGCCGUCGUUCUUUUACAAAGAGGGGUGGAGGUUGUUGUUGCCUUUUUUUUUUUUUUUUUCCUUUAUGAAUGGAGGGCGGCGGCGACUGCUGCAGCUGGCUCAGCUGCGCGGGCUGUACCCCCUCCCAGACUGCGAGAGGAGAUGUGGGAGCUAAAUCCAGAGCAACCCCUGAGAGCAGUAGGAAGAGAAGAAGGAGAAAAAAAAAAAAAGAUCAAGAGGAGCUCUUUUGGUCCUUGCUUGCAAAUCACAGAAAUUCCCUGGUAAUCUUGAAGACUCCGCUGAUGCAGUGAUUGGUGAGCUAUGACUUUGGGAAUGGACAUAUUUAGACUUUGCCCAAAGACUGCCACUUAAUUGUUGAUGGAUCUCAGAGGACACGGGUUCGAGCCCUGGUCCGGGAAGAUCCCACAUGCCAUGGACCCGUGCGCUGCAACUACUGAGCCUGCACUCUAGAACCCACAAGCCACAAGUGCUGAGGCCCGCGUGCCACAACUACUGAAGCCCACGUGCCUAGAGCCCGUGUUCCGCAACAGGAGAGGCCACCACAACGAAAGGCCUGCGCACCGCAAUGAAGAGUAGCCCCCACUCACCGCAACUAGAGAAAGCCCGCGCGCAGCAUGGAAGACCCAAC